ACUUUAACACUGAGGCGUGAUGACGAGGCACUACGGUGCUGAAGCAACAAAUGCCCUGCUUCCAGGAAAAGCCUCUAAGCAUCAGGUAACAUCAAAUCGUACCCCAAACCGACACAGGUGGUCAGGUAGAGAAUACCAAGGCGCUUGAGAGAACUCGGGUGAAGGAACUAGGCAAAAUGGUGCCGUAACUUCGGGAGAAGGCACGCUGACAUGUAGGUGAAGUGAUUUACUCAUGGAGCUGAAGUCAGUCGAAG
Molecule: ribosomal RNA, 254 nt
Filed under: Salmonella enterica subsp. enterica serovar Infantis
Lineage: Bacteria; Pseudomonadati; Pseudomonadota; Gammaproteobacteria; Enterobacterales; Enterobacteriaceae
Also listed under: 3 other names
Description: partial 23S ribosomal RNA
Rfam family: Bacterial large subunit ribosomal RNA
Source: RNAcentral